This 625-nucleotide ribosomal RNA is filed under the name Salmonella enterica subsp. enterica serovar Infantis. RNAcentral's name for it is "partial 23S ribosomal RNA". Lineage: Bacteria; Pseudomonadati; Pseudomonadota; Gammaproteobacteria; Enterobacterales; Enterobacteriaceae. The record is from RNAcentral.
CCGGAGAAUGUUAUCACGGGAGACACACGGCGGGUGCUAACGUCCGUCGUGAAGAGGGAAACAACCCAGACCGCCAGCUAAGGUCCCAAAGUCAUGGUUAAGUGGGAAACGAUGUGGGAAGGCCCAGACAGCCAGGAUGUUGGCUUAGAAGCAGCCAUCAUUUAAAGAAAGCGUAAUAGCUCACUGGUCGAGUCGGCCUGCGCGGAAGAUGUAACGGGGCUAAACCAUGCACCGAAGCUGCGGCAGCGAACGUAUCACUUAAAGCGAUUCAGCGGGUUACGAUUGACGGAGCGAAGCGACGUCAAAGCGUAUACAAAGUCGAGUCGGUUUAAGGAUACGUUCGUUGGGUAGGGGAGCGUUCUGUAAGCCUGYGAAGGUGKSYYGUGAGGSWUGCUGGAGGUAUCAGAAGUGCGAAUGCUGACAUAAGUAACGAUAAAGCGGGUGAAAAGCCCGCUCGCCGGAAGACCAAGGGUUCCUGUCCAACGUUAAUCGGGGCAGGGUGAGUCGACCCCUAAGGCGAGGCCGAAAGGCGUAGUCGAUGGGAAACGGGUUAAUAUUCCCGUACUUGGUGUUACUGCGAAGGGGGGACGGAGAAGGCUAUGUUGGCCGGGCGACGGUUGUCCCG